AUGGACGCCGAAUUGAGACAAGUCGCUAAUGGUUUUGACUAUAAGGUUCGUUCAUUUGACAAAUACGACAUCAACGGGUAUCGCUUUCGUACCUAUGGCAAAGAGCUAUCUAUGGCCGACCGAAAGUCUACAAAUUGUUGUGUAUCUGCUAUCGGCGAAGGAGGUACCGAGUAUUAUGGGAGAGUUGAAGCCAUUUAUGAACUUCUAUUCUAUGGUGAAAACCCACCGAAUGUCGUAGUCUUCAAAUGUUAUUGGUUUCAGCCGAAGGAGACUAGAAGGACUCAUGAACAUAUAGGGCUAGUUGAAAUCAACCAAAGCACCCAUUUAGAUGUUCCUGAUGUCUAUAUUACGGCUCAACAGGCGACCCAAGUAUUCUAUCUACCGUGGGCCUGCCAAACUAAUCCAAAUCUGAAAGGUUGGGAUGUCGUUUAUGAAGUGCCGCCACGUGCUAGACUAUCUCCCCCAAAGGAAGAGGAUUAUGAACCUCACAUUAACCCAGACACAUAUGAAGGAGAAUUCUUCCAAGAGACACGUCUUUCCAAAAAGCGUUUCAAGAACCGCUAUACUUCACCCCAAAACAUUGAAGUAGACAGCGAUAGUGAAUCCGACAUCACCCCAGAGGAGGAACAAGAAGAGCCGGAACAAGAAGAGGUUACUGCUGCGGAUGACCUGUCAUUGCUUGACCGAUUACGUCAAGGUGGCCUUCCACAUGUUGAUGCCACUGAACCCUAUGAGCCCGUCAUUGAUUAUAGUGAUGAUGAUGAUUAUGCAUUUAUUGAUGAUACUGAUCGAGAUUAUUAG
Molecule: ribosomal RNA, 801 nt
Filed under: Triticum aestivum (bread wheat)
Lineage: Eukaryota; Viridiplantae; Streptophyta; Magnoliopsida; Poales; Poaceae
Description: partial small subunit ribosomal RNA
Source: RNAcentral